RNAcentral lists this ribosomal RNA (357 nucleotides) under Triticum aestivum (bread wheat). RNAcentral describes it as "partial small subunit ribosomal RNA". Lineage: Eukaryota; Viridiplantae; Streptophyta; Magnoliopsida; Poales; Poaceae. The record is from RNAcentral.
AUGAAGAGCGGCAAGUACACGCUCGGCUACAAGACCGUCCUCAAGACGCUCCGGAGCUCCAAGGGGAAGUUGAUUAUCCUCGCAAACAACUGCCCUCCGCUCAGGAAGUCUGAGAUCGAGUACUAUGCUAUGCUGUCCAAGAUCAGCGUUCAUCAUUUCCAUGGAAACAAUGUGGAUCUUGGAACUGCGUGCGGCAAGUACUACCGGGUGUGCUGUUUGAGCAUCCUGGACCCUGGUUCGUCCCUGUUAAACUCAAAACUCUUUGCUCAUUUGUCAUUUGCCGGAGUAACUUGUACUGAGCGUUUACUACGCAUGUUUCCAGGUGACUCGGACAUCAUCACCACCGUUCCUCAGUGA